UGCGUUUCAACUGAGUAAGUAAUGAUGGUUUCUUGAAGAGGCAUAGAUAUCUUUGAUUGAGAGGAGGGAUGUGGAGAGGUACAAAGAGUCUUCACUUGAUGAGUUAUUAGGGAGCAUUGAAGUGCCAUUGUUGUAGUCGUAGGAGUUACACCGGUGAAGUUGGAUAGACGAACAGAUUUAGAGUCGCUGGAGACGUCUGAGGCAAGAGGCUAAGGAAAAGGACGCUAUAAGUUAUACAAUGGACUGACUAUUUUGAUGGGUUUGGAUGGUUCGAGACCCAU
Molecule: long non-coding RNA, 281 nt
Filed under: Brassica napus (rape)
Lineage: Eukaryota; Viridiplantae; Streptophyta; Magnoliopsida; Brassicales; Brassicaceae
Description: long non-coding RNA (BNAP_LNC008123)
Source: RNAcentral